UGAGGAAUAUUGGUCAAUGGACGAGAGUCUGAACCAGCCAAGUAGCGUGAAGGAUGACUGCCCUAUGGGUUGUAAACUUCUUUUAUACGGGAAUAAAGUGAGGCACGUGUGCCUUUUUGUAUGUACCGUAUGAAUAAGGAUCGGCUAACUCCGUGCCAGCAGCCGCGGUAAUACGGAGGAUCCGAGCGUUAUCCGGAUUUAUUGGGUUUAAAGGGAGCGUAGGCGGACGCUUAAGUCAGUUGUGAAAGUUUGCGGCUCAACCGUAAAAUUGCAGUUGAUACUGGGUGUCUUGAGUACAGUAGAGGCAGGCGGAAUUCGUGGUGUAGCGGUGAAAUGCUUAGAUAUCACGAAGAACUCCGAUUGCGAAGGCAGCUUGCUGGACUGUAACUGACGCUGAUGCUCGAAAGUGUGGGUAUCAAACAGGAUUAGAUACCCUGGUAGUCCACACAGUAAACGAUGAAUACUCGCUGUUUGCGAUAUACAGUAAGCGGCCAAGCGAAAGCGUUAAGUAUUCCACCUGGGGAGUACGCCGGCAACGGUGAAACUCAAAGGAAUUGACGGGGGCCCGCACAAGCGGAGGAACAUGUGGUUUAAUUCGAUGAUACGCGAGGAACCUUACCCGGGCUUGAAUUGCAACUGAAUGAUGUGGAGACAUGUCAGCCGCAAGGCAGUUGUGAAGGUGCUGCAUGGUUGUCGUCAGCUCGUGCCGUGAGGUGUCGGCUUAAGUGCCAUAACGAGCGCAACCCUUAUCGAUAGUUACCAUCAGGUUAUGCUGGGGACUCUGUCGAGACUGCCGUCGUAAGAUGUGAGGAAGGUGGGGAUGACGUCAAAUCAGCACGGCCCUUACGUCCGGGGCUACACACGUGUUACAAUGGGGGGUACAGAAGGCAGCUACACGGCGACGUGAUACUAAUCCCUAAAGCCUCUCUCAGUUCGGAUUGGAGUCUGCAACCCGACUCCAUGAAGCUGGAUUCGCUAGUAAUCGCGCAUCAGCCACGGCGCGGUGAAUACGUUCCC
Molecule: ribosomal RNA, 1017 nt
Filed under: uncultured bacterium
Lineage: Bacteria
Description: bacterial SSU rRNA
Rfam family: Bacterial small subunit ribosomal RNA
Source: RNAcentral